AGUAAGCAUCGCCCCUUCCAGACACUGCUCAUUGAUGGUCACUAUGGGACAGUCUCUAAGUCACUUCAGCAUGGACGUGUGCAUCAAAAUUGAAGAUACAUCUAAACUACGCAUGGGGAAAUGCGGCUUCAUGGCAGAUUUUGCUGCAGCUAUUAUCAGAAAACUGAGAAAUGCCUUCUGCUCUUUCAUUCAUCACAUCACAGUAGCAAUGUUAAACUCAACUAAGAAGAAUGAAUGACAUUAAGCCCUCAGUCUGGCUAAAGAUGGCUCAGCUCCACACCAGGUCGGAAUGUUCCUGAAAGGUGAUGAAUGGGGAGAGACUCUUGCAUUUGGUUCUGGUUCCAAAUCUCCCCACUGGGAUCCCCUAAUGAAAGCAGAACUUGUGGCAGCUGGAAAUUCCGAGGUUAAUCAAAGCAGGGGCAAGGGCAGGCCUGGAGAGGAGACCAGAGAGGUCUGUCCUCUCCCAUGCAGUCUUUGGUUCAGACUCCCUUGCCUAAUGGCAUGAAGACUAUGUGCUCUGGCCACACAAUUUUCAGUUCCCCAGAGACACCUUUUCAUUCCCUGAUGUAGAACGUGACAGAGGCCUUUCACUUGCCCAGGCCAUCUGACCCACAAUGCACCUGUCACACUCAGCAACCAAGGUAGCCUGGGGGUAGGAUGCGGGGAAGGGCAACAGUUUUGAAAUAUGGGGUUAUUUGGGUGUCUGGGGAAUUCGAGAGAACUUGUGACUGCACUUGGGAGGGAGGCUGGUGACUUAAAUAAACAUGGACCGUUCCAGAACAAA
Non-coding RNA from Peromyscus maniculatus bairdii (prairie deer mouse), 784 nucleotides. Lineage: Eukaryota; Metazoa; Chordata; Mammalia; Rodentia; Cricetidae. The record is from RefSeq and is a predicted model, not a curated record.